GACGAACGCUGGCGGCGUGCUUAACACAUGCAAGUCGAACGGAAAGGCCUCUUUCGGGGGGUACUCGAGUGGCGAACGGGUGAGUAACACGUGAGUAACCUGCCCUUGACUUUGGGAUAACUUCAGGAAACUGGGGCUAAUACCGGAUAGGAGCUCCUGCUGCAUGGUGGGGGUUGGAAAGUUUCGGCGGUGGGGGGUGGACUCGCGGCUUAUCAGCUUGUUGGUGGGGUAGUGGCUUACCAAGGCUUUGACGGGUAGCCGGCCUGAGAGGGUGACCGGCCACAUUGGGACUGAGAUACGGCCCAGACUCCUACGGGAGGCAGCAGUGGGGAAUAUUGCACAAUGGGUGGAAGCCUGAUGCAGCAACGCCGUGUGCGGGAUGACGGCCUUCGGGUUGUAAACCGCUUUCGCUCAUGACGAAGCUUUGUGUGACGGUAGUGGGUAAAGAAGCACCGGCUAACUACGUG
Molecule: ribosomal RNA, 467 nt
Filed under: uncultured bacterium
Lineage: Bacteria
Description: partial 16S ribosomal RNA
Rfam family: Bacterial small subunit ribosomal RNA
Source: RNAcentral